Molecule: ribosomal RNA, 379 nt
Filed under: uncultured eukaryote
Lineage: Eukaryota
Description: partial 18S ribosomal RNA
Rfam family: Eukaryotic small subunit ribosomal RNA
Source: RNAcentral
CAAUAGCGUAUAUUUAAGUUGUUGCAGUUAAAAAGCUCGUAGUUGGAUUUUGGGUCGGGGGCACCGGUCCGCCGUUCCGGUGUGCACUGGUGGCCCCUUCCUUUCUGCCGGGGACGUGCGUCGCACUUAAUUGGGUGGCGUUCAGAGUCGGCGUUGUUACUUUGAAAAAAUUAGAGUGUUCAAAGCAAGCCAUCGCUCUGAAUACAUUAGCAUGGAAUAACAUGAUAGGACUCCGGUCUUAUUUUGUUGGUUUCCGAGACUGGAGUAAUGAUUAAGAGGGACAGUCGGGGGCAUCCGUAUUUCAUUGUCAGAGGUGAAAUUCUUGGAUUUAUGAAAGACGAACUUCUGCGAAAGCAUUUGCCAAGGAUGUUUUCAUUAA